This 253-nucleotide ribosomal RNA is filed under the name uncultured bacterium. RNAcentral's name for it is "partial 16S ribosomal RNA". It matches the Rfam family "Bacterial small subunit ribosomal RNA", at positions 524 to 776 of the family's 1533-position model. The record is from RNAcentral.
UACGAAGGGGGCUAGCGUUGCUCGGAAUUACUGGGCGUAAAGGGCGCGUAGGCGGCACUGUUAGUCAGGCGUGAAAGUCCUGGGCUCAACCUGGGAACUGCGCUUGAUACGGCAGAGCUAGAGGAUGGAAGAGGGUCGCGGAAUUCCCAGUGUAGAGGUGAAAUUCGUAGAUAUUGGGAAGAACACCGGUGGCGAAGGCGGCUACCUGGACCGGUUCUGACGCUGAGGCGCGAAAGCGUGGGUAGCAAACAGG